GACGAACGCUGGCGGCGUGCCUAAUACAUGCAAGUUGAGCGCUGAAGGUUGGUACUUGUACCAACUGGAUGAGCAGCGAACGGGUGAGUAACGCGUGGGGAAUCUGCCUUUGAGCGGGGGACAACAUUUGGAAACGAAUGCUAAUACCGCAUAAAAACUUUAAACACAAGUUUUAAGUUUGAAAGAUGCAAUUGCAUCACUCAAAGAUGAUCCCGCGUUGUAUUAGCUAGUUGGUGAGGUAAAGGCUCACCAAGGCGAUGAUACAUAGCCGACCUGAGAGGGUGAUAGGCCACAUUGGGACUGAGACAAGGCCCAAACUCAUACGGGAGGCAGCAGUAGGGAAUCUUCGGAAAUGGAAGAAAGUCUGAACGAGCAACGCCGCGUGAGUGAAGAAGGUUUUCGGAUCGUAAAACUCUGUUGGUAGAGAAGAAAGUUGGUGAGAGUGGAAAGCUCAUCAAGUGACGGUAACUACCCAGAAAGGGACGGCUAACUACGUG
RNAcentral lists this ribosomal RNA (497 nucleotides) under uncultured bacterium. Its description in RNAcentral is "partial 16S ribosomal RNA". It matches the Rfam family "Bacterial small subunit ribosomal RNA", at positions 28 to 507 of the family's 1533-position model. The record is from RNAcentral.